RNAcentral lists this ribosomal RNA (1470 nucleotides) under metagenome. Its description in RNAcentral is "bacterial SSU rRNA". It matches the Rfam family "Bacterial small subunit ribosomal RNA". The record is from RNAcentral.
AGAGUUUGAUCCUGGCUCAGGACGAACGCUGGCGGCACGCUUAACACAUGCAAGUCGAACGAGAGAAGAGGAGCUUGCUUUUCUGAUCUAGUGGCGGACGGGUGAGUAACACGUGAGCAAUCUGCCUUUCAGAGGGGGAUACCGAUUGGAAACGAUCGUUAAUACCGCAUAACAUAAUUGAACCGCAUGAUUUUAUUAUCAAAGAUUUAUCGCUGAAAGAUGAGCUCGCGUCUGAUUAGCUAGUUGGUAAGGUAACGGCUUACCAAGGCGACGAUCAGUAGCCGGACUGAGAGGUUGAUCGGCCACAUUGGGACUGAGACACGGCCCAGACUCCUACGGGAGGCAGCAGUGGGGAAUAUUGCACAAUGGAGGAAACUCUGAUGCAGCGAUGCCGCGUGAGGGAAGAAGGUUUUAGGAUUGUAAACCUCUGUCUUCAGGGACGAAAAAAGACGGUACCUGAGGAGGAAGCUCCGGCUAACUACGUGCCAGCAGCCGCGGUAAUACGUAGGGAGCGAGCGUUGUCCGGAAUUACUGGGUGUAAAGGGAGCGUAGGCGGGAUCGCAAGUCAGAUGUGAAAACUAUGGGCUUAACCCAUAAACUGCAUUUGAAACUGUGGUUCUUGAGUGAAGUAGAGGUAAGCGGAAUUCCUAGUGUAGCGGUGAAAUGCGUAGAUAUUAGGAGGAACAUCAGUGGCGGAGGCGGCUUACUGGGCUUUAACUGACGCUGAGGCUCGAAAGCGUGGGGAGCAAACAGGAUUAGAUACCCUGGUAGUCCACGCCGUAAACGAUGAUUACUAGGUGUGGGGGGACUGACCCCUUCCGUGCCGCAGCAAACGCAAUAAGUAAUCCACCUGGGGAGUACGACCGCAAGGUCGAAACUCAAAGGAAUUGACGGGGGCCCGCACAAGCAGUGGAGUAUGAGGAUUAAUUCGAAGCAACGCGAAGAACCUUACCAGGUCUUGACAUCGUAUGCAUAGCUCAGAGAUGAGUGAAAUCUCUUCGGAGACAUAUAGACAGGUGGUGCAUGGUUGUCGUCAGCUCGUGUCGUGAGAUGUUGGGUUAAGUCCCGCAACGAGCGCAACCCUUACUGUUAGUUGCUACGCAAGAGCACUCUAGCAGGACUGCCGUUGACAAAACGGAGGAAGGUGGGGAUGACGUCAAAUCAUCAUGCCCCUUAUGACCUGGGCCUCACACGUACUACAAUGGCUGUCAACAGAGGGAAGCAAAGCCGCGAGGUGGAGCGAACCCCUAAAAGCAGUCUUAGUUCGGAUUGUAGGCUGCAACCCGCCUACAUGAAGUCGGAAUUGCUAGUAAUCGCAGAUCAGCAUGCUGCGGUGAAUACGUUCCCGGGCCUUGUACACACCGCCCGUCACGCCAUGGGAGUCGGUAACACCCGAAGCCUGUAGUCUAACCGCAAGGAGGACGCAGUCGAAGGUGGGAUUGAUGACUGGGGUGAAGUCGUAACAAGGUA